GAAAGCGCAGUGCGUUAAAUGCGCACGCUGCGUUUGACGAGGCGGGUGCUGGAAACACGAUCGAAAGAUUGGUGCGCCAGCGUUCGACCCUAC
Molecule: non-coding RNA, 93 nt
Filed under: Salegentibacter sp. 24
Lineage: Bacteria; Pseudomonadati; Bacteroidota; Flavobacteriia; Flavobacteriales; Flavobacteriaceae
Source: RNAcentral